Non-coding RNA from Podarcis lilfordi (Lilford's wall lizard), 66 nucleotides. The record is from the annotation of a GenBank genome assembly. NCBI's taxonomy places the organism in Eukaryota, Metazoa, Chordata, Lepidosauria, Squamata, Lacertidae.
GUCUUAGCUCAGUGGUAGAUCAUCUGUCUUGCAUACAGAAGGCCCCAGGGAGGGCUGGGAGAGACC